Molecule: unclassified non-coding RNA, 156 nt
Filed under: uncultured Ascomycota
Lineage: Eukaryota; Fungi; Ascomycota
Description: sequence contains ITS1
Source: RNAcentral
CCGAAACGUUACAAAACGAACCACUGUGAACCGUCCUUUUAGCUGUCUCGGCGGGCGAUCCCAGGGCGGGAUCCCGGGCUCCUUUAGGGGUGUUCGCCGGCGGCCACUUUUCAAGCUCUGAUUCCAGCGGGCUUCUGAGUGUAAAAGAAACAGUCA